UGGUGGAGUGAUUUGUCUGGUUAAUUCCGAUAACGAACGAGACCUUAACCUGCUAAAUAGCUGCGCGAUCUUUUUGAUUGUGGCAGCUUCUUAGAGGGACUAACUACUUUUAGUGGUUGGAAGGUUUGUAGGCAAUAACA
Molecule: ribosomal RNA, 140 nt
Filed under: uncultured eukaryote
Lineage: Eukaryota
Description: partial 18S ribosomal RNA
Rfam family: Eukaryotic small subunit ribosomal RNA
Source: RNAcentral